GCCUGGGUGGCUCAGUCGGUUGAGCUUCUGACUUUUGACUCAGGUCAUGAUCUCACAAUUCGUGGGUUCAAGCCUCACGUCAGGCU
This 86-nucleotide transfer RNA is filed under the name Felis catus (domestic cat). It matches the Rfam family "tRNA". Rfam says of the family: Transfer RNA (tRNA) molecules are approximately 80 nucleotides in length. Their secondary structure includes four short double-helical elements and three loops (D, anti-codon, and T loops). Further hydrogen bonds mediate the characteristic L-shaped molecular structure. tRNAs have two regions of fundamental functional importance: the anti-codon, which is responsible for specific mRNA codon recognition, and the 3' end, to which the tRNAs corresponding amino acid is attached (by aminoacyl-tRNA synthetases). tRNAs cope with the degeneracy of the genetic code in two manners: having more than one tRNA (with a specific anti-codon) for a particular amino acid; and 'wobble' base-pairing, i.e. permitting non-standard base-pairing at the 3rd anti-codon position. Lineage: Eukaryota; Metazoa; Chordata; Mammalia; Carnivora; Felidae. The record is from Rfam by way of RNAcentral.